RNAcentral lists this transfer RNA (74 nucleotides) under Acidobacteriota bacterium. RNAcentral describes it as "Acidobacteria bacterium (hot springs metagenome) tRNA-Ala". Lineage: Bacteria; Pseudomonadati; Acidobacteriota. The record is from RNAcentral.
AAAAACGUAAACAAGAAUGAUUUGCAAGAUUCGCAUUCAUGAGGUCGAGGGUUCGAAUCCCUUCGUCUCCACCA